Molecule: ribosomal RNA, 377 nt
Filed under: uncultured bacterium
Lineage: Bacteria
Description: bacterial SSU rRNA
Rfam family: Bacterial small subunit ribosomal RNA
Source: RNAcentral
AUUGAACGCUGGCGGAAUGCUUUACACAUGCAAGUCGAACGGUAGAGGGGGCAACCCCUCGAGAGUGGCGAACGGGUGAGUAAUAUAUCGGAACGUGCCCAGUCGUGGGGGAUAACGUAGCGAAAGUUACGCUAAUACCGCAUACGAUCUACGGAUGAAAGCGGGGGAUCGCAAGACCUCGCGCGAUUGGAGCGGCCGAUAUCAGAUUAGGUAGUUGGUGGGGUAAAGGCUCACCAAGCCAACGAUCUGUAGCUGGUCUGAGAGGACGACCAGCCACACUGGAACUGAGACACGGUCCAGACUCCUACGGGAGGCAGCAGUGGGGGAAUUUUGGACAAUGGACGCAAGUCUGAUCCAGCCAUUCCGCGUGCGGGAAG